UUUAAGGGGAAUGUUGUCUGGCACGAGGUCACCAACUUUGGCAGGAGAGAAUAUAAUUUGAUGUUGAAUUGUGCAUAUAUAUGUAUGUAUAUGUAUAUGUUUGGGCUCUCGGACCAGGCUUCAUUCCCCUCAAU
RNAcentral lists this microRNA precursor (134 nucleotides) under Rosa chinensis. RNAcentral's name for it is "sRNA RchiOBHm_Chr1g0382441". It matches the Rfam family "mir-166 microRNA precursor family". Rfam says of the family: This family represents the plant microRNA (miRNA) precursor mir-166. Animal miRNAs are transcribed as ~70nt precursors and subsequently processed by the Dicer enzyme to give a ~22nt product. Lineage: Eukaryota; Viridiplantae; Streptophyta; Magnoliopsida; Rosales; Rosaceae. The record is from Rfam by way of RNAcentral.